UGAAACAAGGGGAAGACUCACAUAGAGGCAGCAGUAGAGAAUCUUGUGCAAUAAACGAAAGUAUGACACAGAGAGGACACAUUUAAUUGAGCCCGUCAAAUUAAGUGCCAGCCGACGCGGUUAAACUUAAGGGCUGGUCUUUAUAAGUAAAAAGGCGUAAAGGAUGUGUAGGCCAAGAAACGACCCAAGUAGGUAAAUGGAAUUUUUCUGGAGCGGUAGAAUGUGAGGAUAGAAAAUAGAACCCCUAAGGUAAAAACUAUUUACCACAAGGUAGGCUGAAACAUGAGAGUGUGGGGAGCAAACAGGAUUAGAGACCCUGGUAGUCCACACUGUGAACUUUGAAGAUGAUGCUUAGCAGACCCGAAAGGUAAAUCUUCCGCCUGAGUAGAACGAUCGCAAGAUUAAAAUUCAAAAACUUUGGCUGUUCACUAUUUCGAUUAGAGGAGCGUGUAGUUUAAUUCGAUGGUCCGCGUGUUACCUUACCCCAACUUGAAUCUGUGACCGGUAUUGCAUGGCCGUCGUAAGUUCGUGUAUUAAGCUAGAAGGGACCCAACCCGGGCAUUUGCCCGGAGGAAGUCAGGUCUUAUGAUCCGAAUGUUGGGGGAUUUUAUGCGCUACAUUUUCUUAUAUAAUGGGAAACCUGGAAGGUGAGCCUCUAAAGUAAGAGUUCGGAAGGUCGCUGUAAGACGACUGGAAGUUGGAUUUAAUAGUAAUCGGAAAGUAGGGCGUUCCGGUGAAUUGGUACAAGUGUUAGCACAAAUUGCCCGUCACCUUUACCUAGAAUGGUUAUUCGGACGUCUUCGGUGAUUACGAAUGCCUACGAGGUAAAGCAAGUCGUAACAU
RNAcentral lists this ribosomal RNA (843 nucleotides) under Glyphoperidium bursa. RNAcentral's name for it is "partial 12S small subunit ribosomal RNA". It matches the Rfam family "Bacterial small subunit ribosomal RNA", at positions 320 to 1494 of the family's 1533-position model. Lineage: Eukaryota; Metazoa; Cnidaria; Anthozoa; Actiniaria; Actiniidae. The record is from RNAcentral.